UACGUAGGGUGCAAGCGUUGUCCGGAAUUAUUGGGCGUAAAGAGCUCGUAGGCGGUCUGUCGCGUCGGCUGUGAAAACCCGGGGCUCAACCCCGGGCCUGCAGUCGAUACGGGCAGACUAGAGUGUGGUAGGGGAGACUGGAAUUCCUGGUGUAGCGGUGAAAUGCGCAGAUAUCAGGAGGAACACCGGUGGCGAAGGCGACAUCCUGGGCAUUAACUGACGCUGAGGAGCGAAAGCAUGGGGAGCGAUCCGG
This 253-nucleotide ribosomal RNA is filed under the name uncultured bacterium. Its description in RNAcentral is "partial 16S ribosomal RNA". It matches the Rfam family "Bacterial small subunit ribosomal RNA", at positions 524 to 776 of the family's 1533-position model. The record is from RNAcentral.